RNAcentral lists this non-coding RNA (68 nucleotides) under Acinetobacter larvae. RNAcentral describes it as "Fluoride sequence". It matches the Rfam family "Fluoride riboswitch aptamer (crcB RNA motif)". The record is from Rfam by way of RNAcentral. Lineage: Bacteria; Pseudomonadati; Pseudomonadota; Gammaproteobacteria; Moraxellales; Moraxellaceae.
AAUUCUUCAGGAGAUGGUCAUCCUCCUCUAACAAACCGCCACGAUCGGCUAAUGAUGCCUACGUUUCC